This 492-nucleotide ribosomal RNA is filed under the name uncultured bacterium. RNAcentral's name for it is "partial 16S ribosomal RNA". It matches the Rfam family "Bacterial small subunit ribosomal RNA", at positions 29 to 507 of the family's 1533-position model. The record is from RNAcentral.
AGUGAACGCUGGCGGUAGGCCUAACACAUGCAAGUCGAACGGCAGCACAGUAAGAGCUUGCUCUUACGGGUGGCGAGUGGCGGACGGGUGAGGAAUACAUCGGAAUCUACUUUUUCGUGGGGGAUAACGUAGGGAAACUGACGCUAAUACCGCAUACGACCUACGGGUGAAAGCAGUGGAUCUUCGGACCUUGCGCGAUUGAAUGAGCCGAUGUCGGAUUAGCUAGUUGGCGGGGUAAAGGCCCACCAAGGCGACGAUCCGUAGCUGGUCUGAGAGGAUGAUCGGCCACACUGGAACUGAGACACGGUCCAGACUCCUACGGGAGGCAGCAGUGGGGAAUAUUGGACAAUGGGCGCAAGCCUGAUCCAGCAAUACCGCGUGAGUGAAGAAGGCCUUCGGGUUGUAAAGCCCUUUUGUUGGGAAAGAACAGCAGCAGGUUAAUACCCCGCUGUUCUGACGGUACCCAAAGAAUAAGCACCGGCUAACUUCGUG